This 446-nucleotide ribosomal RNA is filed under the name uncultured bacterium. RNAcentral's name for it is "partial 16S ribosomal RNA". It matches the Rfam family "Bacterial small subunit ribosomal RNA", at positions 338 to 795 of the family's 1533-position model. The record is from RNAcentral.
CCUACGGGCGGCAGCAGUCGAGAAUCAUUCACAAUGGGGGAAACCCUGAUGGUGCGACGCCGCGUGGGGGAAUGAAGGUCUUCGGAUUUUAAACCCCUGUCAUGUGGGAGCAAAUUAAAAAGAUAGCACCACAAUAGGAAGAGACGGCUAACUCUGUGCCAGCAGCCGCGGUAAUACGGAGGUCUCAAGCGUUGUGCGGAAUUACUGGGCGUAAAGCGUGCGUAGGCUGUUUCGUAAGUCGUGUGUGAAAGGCGCGGGCUCAACCCGCGGACGGCAUAUGAUACUGCGAGACUAGAGUGAUGGAGGGGGAACCGGAAUUCUCGGUGUAGCAGUGAAAUGCGUAGAUAUCGAGAGGAACACUAGUGGCGAAGGCGGGUUCCUGGACAUUAACUGACGCUGAGGCACGAAGGCCAGGGGAGCGAAAGGGAUUAGAUACCCGAGUAGUC